Pezoporus occidentalis (night parrot) is the source of this 2803-nucleotide long non-coding RNA. RefSeq lists it as uncharacterized. The record is from RefSeq and is a predicted model, not a curated record. The transcript has 2 exons. NCBI's taxonomy places the organism in Eukaryota, Metazoa, Chordata, Aves, Psittaciformes, Psittacidae.
AUCACACCUAACUUUAAUCAUUCAGGCACAUUUUUUUGUCAUUAAAAAGAAAAGGUAUUUACAAGGGGGAAAUCACCUGGUUGCUCUUAACCAAGUGCAAGCUGUAGGUUAUUUGGCUGCUUUUAGCCAUCCACCUUUUCUCCACAGUUCUUGUUAAGGGAGUUCCUCUGUCAGCUGUCUUGAUCCAAAUGAUUGAAAAAAAAAAAGAUAGAAAAGGGAAAAAUAGUUUUCAAUUCACCCAAAAAUAUCAUUAGCUGGUAACUAAUCACCAGCAAAUGCACCAAUUACAAAAGACUUGGAUAUAUUUGCAGCAAGCUAUGAUAUUCUUUCUUAAGAAGAAAGAAAAACAACACUUACACAUAGCACACAGUCUGCAGUUCUGGGUAAUCAUCAUCUUUCUGUCAGCUGUAGUCAUGACUGGUAGCUUUGCCCUCAGUGCUGUCAGAUGGAUAACCCCUUAAAGCUGGAAAUAAAAGCUAGGUAUGGGCCUCAGGUUAUCACUUUUGAUUGGAGGGGUGGAAGAGAUUUCUCCAGGUGCAUACUGGAAGUAGGACUGUGUCUACAACAUAAUGCUUACCCAGGGCAGAAAAUCCCAGCAGCUUCUCCCUUUUCAGUUACUUUUGAUAGAAGAGCCAUGGAGUGACUCCAUAGGAGGAGGAAAUGACCUGCAAUAAUCAUCAACUGUCUAUCCAAGGACUCCCAAGACCAAACCAAACAAAGCCUCUCAGCAGUUCUCAGAAUGCCAGCACAGUUGGUGGCUUUGAAGUGCCAGCAAGAGCUGUGCUGGGGCAUCCUCUGUACUCUCUUACGGACACCAGAAUGAGAGCCGCAGGAAGAGUUCACGUAGCAAAAGCACUAAUUCUGGAGCUUAGGUUCUUCAUGCAAGUAGAUUAUCACAGAAGUGGCAUUACUGUCCUGUUCUGGGCCUUGAGGUGCUGUGGGACUUAUACAUAAAGGCUUGGGGUCCCAGCCAGACUCCACCAGCAUUAAUGGAACACGUAAUUGAUUUUUUGGUGAGGUAACAAAAUACAUCCUGCAGCCCUGUGAAUAAAGAAGGGUCUAUUCACUUAGCAAGGCAGGAUUCAGAUGCACAGAGUCUUGGGGCACCUCGGAAUGAUCAGUAACUUUCCCAAAGGCAGUUUACGCUAUCAUUCUGAAUGUUUACCUUCACAGUACAAACAAAAAAAGAGGUGUACUUAUUGAUGGGGUAAACAGGUACACUUCUCCAAAGAAACCAGUUUGGUUAGUCAGCCUGGGUGUUGACAAGAGAUGGAAGGAAAUAAUUAAAAGAGACUGCAUAGUAGGUAUGAUAAUUAGCCAUGUGGUUGGUACCAAACAAUAGAGGCUUAUGCAGAGCCUAGGGAAUGUGGAGAGAUAAUUUUACCUUUCCCAAACAGGAGGGCAUCAAGCUGUGCUUCCCUGCCUGGGAAGUAGGUCAAGAGGAAGUGCACUUUCAAUUCAUAUUCAUCUCAUAAUUAUUUCACGUACUGAAGAACAGCAUUUCUGUCAAGGGGGAGAUGCCUCUGUGGCCAGUCUUAUGGAAAAACAAUCCUCCACUCAAAGAAACACCAUGCAUAUUUCACGCUUUCAGCAGCAGCCCUGCCUUCCACGUGAACUCUCAUUGCACUUCUGUUAGUCCUGACCUUGCCAAGCUUCACAGUCACUCCAGACAUCAUCACGAGUGGAUCCACACUGCCGGAUCCUAGCACAAGAGUACACUGCUGCACAUUUGCCAAUAGGACUCAAAUCAAGAUUUGAUGUGCUGUUGCUCCUGGAACUAUAGACGUCUUUCACUGGUGCUAUUGGAGAAGCAAGUGGUCCUGACAGAAACCUUUGUAUUGGGAUAUGUUAAGCAGGAGACCAUUAAAAAUAUCUGUUUUGGUUUUGAUUCUUAAGAGGGGAAAAGAGAAUACUUUAACAUGCAUUUGCUUAUUUUCAUAUGUAACAGAGUAUAACUUAAGUUGGAAAGUACCCUUGGAGGUUUGUCCAACCCUCGGCUCAAAGCUAGGCUACUUUGUAAAGAUACUUCAAGUUGUUCAGGGUCAUAUCACUAAAGUGUUAAAUGGAUAGAGUGUCCAAAACCUCUCUGAGCAACCUAUUGCAAUGUUUGACCACCAUCAUAGAGAUUUUCUUUUUCUUAGAGGUUUCAAAUGUGUACUUUAAAGAUGAAUACAAAGUUUCUGUAAGGAUAAAUCUAUAUUAGUCUGGGUAGAGAACAAGUGUUGUGUAGUCAUCUAUAGUACCUUUUCUUGGUAUAUAUAAACUAUGUUUCUGAAGUAGAAGAGAGACUUUCCAAGGAAAAAAAAAAGUAAAAAAUCAAUCAUUUAUGCUCAAUUUUCCCCAUGAUUUAAAAGAAUAUGUAAAGGAACAGCAUAAACAAAAAAUAAAUUAAAAAAGCCAAGGAAGUGAAUUAGAGAAUGAUGACAACAUGAUGGCUCUCAUUUUGUGUUCAGUUAUAGAGAAAUGUAAAUAUGAGAUCAAAUACAGCCACUCCAAUUUGACAAAUCUUUUGUAUGUUAAGAAAACAAUAUACAUAGGAUGUCAAAUACUACUCUUAAAAAGCACAUUGUUUUCAAGCUGCAGUGUACAAUCUCCACAUAUGCCACUUAUUAAUGUUUCUUUUUUUUAAAAAAAAGACCUGAUUUUAAAAAAAGAAUUGCCAACAGCACAGAAAACCAAAUCUGCUGCACCAAAUCAUUCAUGUUCCAGAUCUUUUUCUGCAGUAAGAUACUCAGUAGCUAUUUCUAUUCCCUGCCCCAGUUAAAUGUUCUUUUUUAAUAAAUCGUUCUUGGUUUCACCAUAA